GUGCCAGCAGCCGCGGUAAUACAGAGGGUGCAAGCGUUGUUCGGAAUUACUGGGCGUAAAGCGCGUGUAGGCGGCUUGAUCAGUCAGACGUGAAAUCCCUCGGCUUAACCGAGGAACUGCGUCUGAUACUGUCAGGCUUGAGUGUCGGAGGGGAUGGCGGAAUUCCUGGUGUAGAGGUGAAAUUCGUAGAUAUCAGGAGGAACAUCAGUGGCGAAGGCGGCCAUCUGGAAGACAACUGACGCUGAGACGCGAAAGCGUGGGUAGCAAACAGGAUUAGAUACCCUGGUAGUCCACGCUGUAAACGAUGAGUGCUAGGUGUUGUGGGUAUUGACCCCCGCAGUGCCAAAGCUAACGCGUUAAGCACUCCGCCUGGGGAGUACGGUCGCAAGAUUAAAACUCAAAGGAAUUGACGG
RNAcentral lists this ribosomal RNA (413 nucleotides) under uncultured bacterium. RNAcentral describes it as "bacterial SSU rRNA". It matches the Rfam family "Bacterial small subunit ribosomal RNA", at positions 505 to 916 of the family's 1533-position model. The record is from RNAcentral.